Molecule: ribosomal RNA, 429 nt
Filed under: Histioteuthis miranda
Lineage: Eukaryota; Metazoa; Mollusca; Cephalopoda; Oegopsida; Histioteuthidae
Description: eukaryotic LSU rRNA
Rfam family: Eukaryotic large subunit ribosomal RNA
Source: RNAcentral
GGGACGUGUGGCGCACGGGUCGAAGACAGCCGUUCGUUUCGUCUCGCGUAGUUCGGAGUUCCCUCGAUCGGGGCCGCCCGUGGCGGGUGCCAGGCCCAUUCGGUGCGGACGGCGAGCGACGGUCUUCGAUCCGAGAGUCGGGUUGCUUGGGAACGCAGCCCAAAUCGGGUGGUAAGCUCCAUCCAAGGCUAAAUACCGGGACGAGUCCGAUAGUCGACAAGUACCGUGAGGGAAAGUUGAAAAGAACUUUGGAGAGAGAGUUCAAGAGAACGUGAAACCGCCCAGGGGUAAACGGGUGGGACCGUUCACCGCGAUCGCGGGGGGACUCAGUCCGGUGCUGCACAAGUUGCCCAAACUCGAUUUGUGUGCGGCGGUGAGGUCUUCGGGCUUUGCCGUCGUUCAGAGGCCGGGUGGACGUCGAUUUCUUCG